AGCGUACGCUGGCGGCAGGCUUAACACAUGCAAGUCGAGCGGGCAUCUUCGGGUGUCAGCGGCGGACGGGUGAGUAACGCGUGGGAACGUGCCUUCUGGUUCGGAAUAACUCAGGGAAACUUGAGCUAAUACCGGAUACGCCCUUUUGGGGAAAGGUUUACUGCCGGAAGAUCGGCCCGCGUCUGAUUAGCUAGUUGGUGGGGUAACGGCAUACCAAGGCGACGAUCAGUAGCUGGUCUGAGAGGAUGAUCAGCCACACUGGGACUGAGACACGGCCCAGACUCCUACGGGAGGCAGCAGUGGGGAAUAUUGGACAAUGGGCGCAAGCCUGAUCCAGCCAUGCCGCGUGAGUGAUGAAGGCCUUAGGGUUGUAAAGCUCUUUUAUCCGGGACGAUAAUGACGGUACCGGAGGAAUAAGCCCCGGCUAGCUUCGUGCCAGCCGCCGCAGUAA
RNAcentral lists this ribosomal RNA (451 nucleotides) under uncultured bacterium. RNAcentral describes it as "partial 16S ribosomal RNA". It matches the Rfam family "Bacterial small subunit ribosomal RNA", at positions 29 to 523 of the family's 1533-position model. The record is from RNAcentral.